Molecule: ribosomal RNA, 2900 nt
Filed under: Klebsiella quasipneumoniae
Lineage: Bacteria; Pseudomonadati; Pseudomonadota; Gammaproteobacteria; Enterobacterales; Enterobacteriaceae
Description: 23S ribosomal RNA
Rfam family: Bacterial large subunit ribosomal RNA
Source: RNAcentral
UUAAGCGACUAAGCGUACACGGUGGAUGCCCUGGCAGUCAGAGGCGAUGAAGGACGUGCUAAUCUGCGAAAAGCGUCGGUAAGGUGAUAUGAACCGUUAUAACCGGCGAUGUCCGAAUGGGGAAACCCAGUGCAAUUCGUUGCACUAUCGUUAACUGAAUACAUAGGUUAACGAGGCGAACCGGGGGAACUGAAACAUCUAAGUACCCCGAGGAAAAGAAAUCAACCGAGAUUCCCCCAGUAGCGGCGAGCGAACGGGGAGCAGCCCAGAGUCUGAAUCAGCUUGUGUGUUAGUGGAACGGUCUGGAAAGUCCGACGGUACAGGGUGAUAGUCCCGUACACCAAAAUGCACAGGCUGUGAACUCGAAGAGUAGGGCGGGACACGUGGUAUCCUGUCUGAAUAUGGGGGGACCAUCCUCCAAGGCUAAAUACUCCUGACUGACCGAUAGUGAACCAGUACCGUGAGGGAAAGGCGAAAAGAACCCCGGCGAGGGGAGUGAAAAAGAACCUGAAACCGUGUACGUACAAGCAGUGGGAGCACCUUCGGGUGUGACUGCGUACCUUUUGUAUAAUGGGUCAGCGACUUAUAUUCUGUAGCAAGGUUAACCGUAUAGGGGAGCCGCAGGGAAACCGAGUCUUAACUGGGCGUUAAGUUGCAGGGUAUAGACCCGAAACCCGGUGAUCUAGCCAUGGGCAGGUUGAAGGUUGGGUAACACUAACUGGAGGACCGAACCGACUAAUGUUGAAAAAUUAGCGGAUGACUUGUGGCUGGGGGUGAAAGGCCAAUCAAACCGGGAGAUAGCUGGUUCUCCCCGAAAGCUAUUUAGGUAGCGCCUCGUGAAUUCAUCUUCGGGGGUAGAGCACUGUUUCGGCUAGGGGGUCAUCCCGACUUACCAACCCGAUGCAAACUACGAAUACCGAAGAAUGUUAUCACGGGAGACACACGGCGGGUGCUAACGUCCGUCGUGAAGAGGGAAACAACCCAGACCGCCAGCUAAGGUCCCAAAGUCAUGGUUAAGUGGGAAACGAUGUGGGAAGGCACAGACAGCCAGGAUGUUGGCUUAGAAGCAGCCAUCAUUUAAAGAAAGCGUAAUAGCUCACUGGUCGAGUCGGCCUGCGCGGAAGAUGUAACGGGGCUAAACCAUGCACCGAAGCUGCGGCAGCGACACUAUGUGUUGUUGGGUAGGGGAGCGUUCUGUAAGCCUGCGAAGGUGACCUGUGAGGGUUGCUGGAGGUAUCAGAAGUGCGAAUGCUGACAUAAGUAACGAUAAAGCGGGUGAAAAGCCCGCUCGCCGGAAGACCAAGGGUUCCUGUCCAACGUUAAUCGGGGCAGGGUGAGUCGACCCCUAAGGCGAGGCCGAAAGGCGUAGUCGAUGGGAAACAGGUUAAUAUUCCUGUACUUGGUGUUACUGCGAAGGGGGGACGGAGAAGGCUAUGUUAGCCGGGCGACGGUUGUCCCGGUUUAAGCAUGUAGGCUGAUUAUCCAGGCAAAUCCGGAUAAUCAAGGCUGAGGUGUGAUGACGAGGCACUACGGUGCUGAAGUAACAAAUGCCCUGCUUCCAGGAAAAGCCUCUAAGCAUCAGGUAACAUCAAAUCGUACCCCAAACCGACACAGGUGGUCAGGUAGAGAAUACCAAGGCGCUUGAGAGAACUCGGGUGAAGGAACUAGGCAAAAUGGUGCCGUAACUUCGGGAGAAGGCACGCUGGUGUGUAGGUGAAGCCCCUGCGGGUGGAGCUGAGACCAGUCGAAGAUACCAGCUGGCUGCAACUGUUUAUUAAAAACACAGCACUGUGCAAACACGAAAGUGGACGUAUACGGUGUGACGCCUGCCCGGUGCCGGAAGGUUAAUUGAUGGGGUUAUCCGUAAGGAGAAGCUCUUGAUCGAAGCCCCGGUAAACGGCGGCCGUAACUAUAACGGUCCUAAGGUAGCGAAAUUCCUUGUCGGGUAAGUUCCGACCUGCACGAAUGGCGUAAUGAUGGCCAGGCUGUCUCCACCCGAGACUCAGUGAAAUUGAACUCGCUGUGAAGAUGCAGUGUACCCGCGGCAAGACGGAAAGACCCCGUGAACCUUUACUAUAGCUUGACACUGAACAUUGAGCCUUGAUGUGUAGGAUAGGUGGGAGGCUUUGAAGCGUGGACGCCAGUCUGCGUGGAGCCAACCUUGAAAUACCACCCUUUAAUGUUUGAUGUUCUAACGUUGGCCCCUGACCGGGGUUGCGGACAGUGUCUGGUGGGUAGUUUGACUGGGGCGGUCUCCUCCCAAAGCGUAACGGAGGAGCACGAAGGUUAGCUAAUCCUGGUCGGACAUCAGGAGGUUAGUGCAAUGGCAUAAGCUAGCUUGACUGCGAGCGUGACGGCGCGAGCAGGUGCGAAAGCAGGUCAUAGUGAUCCGGUGGUUCUGAAUGGAAGGGCCAUCGCUCAACGGAUAAAAGGUACUCCGGGGAUAACAGGCUGAUACCGCCCAAGAGUUCAUAUCGACGGCGGUGUUUGGCACCUCGAUGUCGGCUCAUCACAUCCUGGGGCUGAAGUAGGUCCCAAGGGUAUGGCUGUUCGCCAUUUAAAGUGGUACGCGAGCUGGGUUUAGAACGUCGUGAGACAGUUCGGUCCCUAUCUGCCGUGGGCGCUGGAGAAUUGAGGGGGGCUGCUCCUAGUACGAGAGGACCGGAGUGGACGCAUCACUGGUGUUCGGGUUGUCAUGCCAAUGGCACUGCCCGGUAGCUAAAUGCGGAAGAGAUAAGUGCUGAAAGCAUCUAAGCACGAAACUUGCCCCGAGAUGAGUUCUCCCUGAGACUUUAAGUCUCCUGAAGGAACGUUAAAGACGAUGACGUUGAUAGGCCGGGUGUGUAAGCGCAGCGAUGCGUUGAGCUAACCGGUACUAAUGAACCGUGAGGCUUAACCUU